GACGAACGCUGGCGGCGUGCUUAACACAUGCAAGUCGAACGGAAAGGCCUCUUUCUGGGGGUACUCGCGUGGCGAACGGGUGAGUAACUCAUGAGUAACCUGCCCUUGACUUUGGGUUAACUUCCGUCAACUGGGGCUAAUACCGGACAGGAGCUCCUGCUGCCUGGAGGGGGUUGGAGAGUUUCGGGCGUUUGGGGUCGCUUGGCGGCUUAUCCGCUUGUUGGUGGGGUGUUGGCUUACCAAGGCUUUGACGGGUAGCCGGCCUGAGAGGGUGACAGGCCACACUGGGACUGAGAGGCGGCCGAGACUCCUACGGGAGGCAGCAGUGGGGAAGAUUGCACAAGGGGUGGAGGCCGGAUGCAGAAGGGCUGUGGGCGGGAUGACGGCGUUCGUGUGGUAGACCGAAUUCGCACAUGACGAAGCUUGGUGUGACGGUAGUGGGUAAAGAAGCACCGGCUAACUACGUG
Molecule: ribosomal RNA, 467 nt
Filed under: uncultured bacterium
Lineage: Bacteria
Description: partial 16S ribosomal RNA
Rfam family: Bacterial small subunit ribosomal RNA
Source: RNAcentral